This 465-nucleotide ribosomal RNA is filed under the name uncultured bacterium. RNAcentral describes it as "bacterial SSU rRNA". It matches the Rfam family "Bacterial small subunit ribosomal RNA", at positions 338 to 795 of the family's 1533-position model. The record is from RNAcentral.
CCUACGGGUGGCACCAGUAGGGAAUCUUCGGCAAUGGACGAAAGUCUGACCGAGCAACGCCGCGUGAGUGAAGAAGGUUUUCGGAUCGUAAAACUCUGUUGGUAGAGAAGAACGUUGGUGAGAGUGGAAAGCUCAUCAAGUGACGGUAACUACCCAGAAAGGGACGGCUAACUACGUGCCAGCAGCCGCGGUAAUACGUAGGUCCCGAGCGUUGUCCGGAUUUAUUGGGCGUAAAGCGAGCGCAGGUGGUUUAUUAAGUCUGGUGUAAAAGGCAGUGGCUCAACCAUUGUAUGCAUUGGAAACUGGUAGACUUGAGUGCAGGAGAGGAGAGUGGAAUUCCAUGUGUAGCGGUGAAAUGCGUAGAUAUAUGGAGGAACACCGGUGGCGAAAGCGGCUCUCUGGCCUGUAACUGACACUGAGGCUCGAAAGCGUGGGGAGCAAACAGGAUUAGAUACCCCAGUAGUC